Molecule: long non-coding RNA, 1008 nt
Organism: Onychostoma macrolepis
Lineage: Eukaryota; Metazoa; Chordata; Actinopteri; Cypriniformes; Cyprinidae
Exons: 6
Source: RefSeq, a predicted model, not a curated record
GUACAGAUAAGAGCAAUACACCAUUCGAAUCUGUAAGGGGUCUACUUUUAUUCAUAUACACUCAUAAUAACAACUAAACUUUUUUUUUUGAAGAAUGAAGAAAACAAACAGGGUGCGCUUUCUGUCUUCUCCGUCUCGCGAACUGCUUUUUGAAACUGCUUGUAACUCAGCAAAUACUUCACACAGAGACAUGAGAAAUAUAUCUAUAGAAAGCUUGACAUGUCUACUAUUAAAUGAAAAACGCGCUGAGAGGAAAAAGCCUUGUAUUUACUCCCAGAAGACGCACUGAGAGGAAAAAGCUUUGCUUACCUCACAAACAGAACGCGGGCGCAGCCGGAGCCGGCAGAGGAGGAGAUAUUUUAUACCGAGGACAGAUGAGACACACGUGUGUUUAUCUGGUGAAGAGUGACUGAUGGAGGAAUGCUGCCAUCAAAGCCUCUCAAUCUUCUGUGGUGGAGCAGGACCUGCAAGGCAAGGUGACAGCGACAUUUGUGGAAAAAAGGGAAAACCUGAAACAAAAGGAUAAAGGACCUGCAAUCCCCUGGAUCAACCUGGAGAAAAGAGCCUUGCUGAAGGACACACCAGUGACGAACCAGCAACCUUCUGCUCACCAGUUCAGUGGUUUAGCCCACUACAGAAGUAGUCGUGCUCAUGGAGAGCAGGCACAUGAAUGUUUGGAGCAGACACAGUGGCAGCCAGAUUGUCCUGCACAUGUUCUCCUGCUCUUGUCUCAAGGUUGUGUGGUUCAGGGGUGUCAUCAUGGUCUUCCUCAUCCUCUGGGUCAACGAUGUCCCCAUUGAGAAGAGCAAGAUUGUGAAGCACAGCGCAGCUGCAGAAUUGACACAUCUGUGUUGAGAUGGCAGUAGGAUGUGGCUUCACCGUCUGUAAAUACAUGAUUGUUAGAACAAUAAGUUUGAAUGAAGCUUUGUUUCAUCUGUUGUUGACUUGUAUAUUGUAUGUAUUUAUUGUGAUACUUCCUUUUAUUCAUUCUUAUACUUAUUUAUUCAU